RNAcentral lists this ribosomal RNA (683 nucleotides) under Bacillus sp. (in: firmicutes). RNAcentral's name for it is "bacterial SSU rRNA". It matches the Rfam family "Bacterial small subunit ribosomal RNA", at positions 87 to 755 of the family's 1533-position model. The record is from RNAcentral. Lineage: Bacteria; Bacillati; Bacillota; Bacilli; Caryophanales; Bacillaceae.
UGAUGUUAGCGGCGGACGGGUGAGUAACACGUGGGUAACCUGCCUGUAAGACUGGGAUAACUCCGGGAAACCGGGGCUAAUACCGGAUGCUURUUUGAACCGCAUGGUUCAAAYAUAAAAGGUGGCUUCGGCUACCACUUACAGAUGGACCCGCGGCGCAUUAGCUAGUUGGUGAGGUAACGGCUCACCAAGGCAACGAUGCGUAGCCGACCUGAGAGGGUGAUCGGCCACACUGGGACUGAGACACGGCCCAGACUCCUACGGGAGGCAGCAGUAGGGAAUCUUCCGCAAUGGACGAAAGUCUGACGGAGCAACGCCGCGUGAGUGAUGAAGGUUUUCGGAUCGUAAAGCUCUGUUGUUAGGGAAGAACAAGUACCGUUCGAAUAGGGCGGUACCUUGACGGUACCUAACCAGAAAGCCACGGCUAACUACGUGCCAGCAGCCGCGGUAAUACGUAGGUGGCAAGCGUUGUCCGGAAUUAUUGGGCGUAAAGGGCUCGCAGGCGGUUUCUUAAGUCUGAUGUGAAAGCCCCCGGCUCAACCGGGGAGGGUCAUUGGAAACUGGGGAACUUGAGUGCAGAAGAGGAGAGUGGAAUUCCACGUGUAGCGGUGAAAUGCGUAGAGAUGUGGAGGAACACCAGUGGCGAAGGCGACUCUCUGGUCUGUAACUGACGCUGAGGAGCG